Molecule: ribosomal RNA, 253 nt
Filed under: uncultured bacterium
Lineage: Bacteria
Description: partial 16S ribosomal RNA
Rfam family: Bacterial small subunit ribosomal RNA
Source: RNAcentral
UACAGAGGUCUCAAGCGUUGUUCGGAUUCAUUGGGCGUAAAGGGUGCGUAGGCGGCGCGGUAAGUCGGGUGUGAAAUCUCGGGGCUUAACUCCGAAACUGCAUUCGAUACUGCCGCGCUUGAGGACUGGAGAGGAGACUGGAAUUUACGGUGUAGCGGUGAAAUGCGUAGAUAUCGUAAGGAAGACCAGUGGCGAAGGCGGGUCUCUGGACAGUGCCUGACGCUGAGGCACGAAGGCCAGGGGAGCAAACGGG